RNAcentral lists this ribosomal RNA (498 nucleotides) under uncultured bacterium. RNAcentral describes it as "partial 16S ribosomal RNA". It matches the Rfam family "Bacterial small subunit ribosomal RNA", at positions 28 to 507 of the family's 1533-position model. The record is from RNAcentral.
GACGAACGCUGGCGGCGUGCCUAAUACAUGCAAGUCGAACGAGAGCGCCCGGUGCUUGCACUGGUCAAUCUAGUGGCGAACGGGUGAGUAACACGUGGGUAACCUGCCCAUCAGAGGGGGAUAACAUCCGGAAACGGAUGCUAAAACCGCAUAGGUCUUCGAACCGCAUGGUUUGAAGAGGAAAAGAGGCGCAAGCUUCUGCUGAUGGAUGGACCCGCGGUGCAUUAGCUAGUUGGUGAGGUAACGGCUCACCAAGGCCGUGAUGCAUAGCCGACCUGAGAGGGUGAUCGGCCACAUUGGGACUGAGACACGGCCCAAACUCCUACGGGAGGCAGCAGUAGGGAAUCUUCCGCAAAGGACGCAAGUCUGACGGAGCAACGCCGCGUGAGUGAAGAAGGUUUUCGGAUCGUAAAACUCUGUUGUUAGAGAAGAACAAGUGCUAGAGUAACUGUUAGCGCCUUGACGGUAUCUAACCAGAAAGCCACGGCUAACUACGUG